This 506-nucleotide ribosomal RNA is filed under the name uncultured bacterium. Its description in RNAcentral is "partial 16S ribosomal RNA". It matches the Rfam family "Bacterial small subunit ribosomal RNA", at positions 30 to 523 of the family's 1533-position model. The record is from RNAcentral.
AUUGAACGCUGGCGGCAGGCCUAACACAUGCAAGUCGAACGGUAGCACAAAGGAGCUUGCUCCUUGGGUGACGAGUGGCGGACGGGUGAGUAAUGUCUGGGAAACUGCCUGAUGGAGGGGGAUAACUACUGGAAACGGUAGCUAAUACCGCAUAACGUCGCAAGACCAAAGAGGGGGACCUUCGGGCCUCUUGCCAUCAGAUGUGCCCAGAUGGGAUUAGCUAGUAGGUGAGGUAAUGGCUCACCUAGGCGACGAUCCCUAGCUGGUCUGAGAGGAGGACCAGCCACACUGGAACUGAGACACGGUCCAGACUCCUACGGGAGGCAGCAGUGGGGAAUAUUGCACAAUGGGCGCAAGCCUGAUGCAGCCAUGCCGCGUGUAUGAAGAAGGCCUUCGGGUUGUAAAGUACUUUCAGCGGGGAGGAAGGUGAUACGGUUAAUAACCGUGUCAAUUGACGUUACCCGCAGAAGAAGCACCGGCUAACUCCGUGCCAGCCGCCGCGGUAA